GACGACCCUUUAAAGGCGUGCUUAACACAUGCAAGUCGAACGGAAAGGCCCUGCUUUUGUGGGGUGCUCGAGUGGCGAACGGCUGAGUAACACGUGAGUAACCUGCCCUUGACUUUGGGAUAACUUCAGGAAACUGGGGCUAAUACCGGAUAGGAGCUCCUGCUGCAUGGUGGGGGUUGGAAAGUUUCGGCGGUUGGGGAUGGACUCGCGGCUUAUCAGCUUGUUGGUGGGGUAGUGGCUUACCAAGGCUUUGACGGGUAGCCGGCCUGAGAGGGUGACCGGCCACAUUGGGACUGAGAUACGGCCCAGACUCCUACGGGAGGCAGCAGUGGGGAAUAUUGCACAAUGGGCGGAAGCCUGAUGCAGCAACGCCGCGUGCGGGAUGACGGCCUUCGGGUUGUAAACCGCUUUCGCCUGUGACGAAGCGUGAGUGACGGUAAUGGGUAAAGAAGCACCGGCUAACUACGUGCCAGCAGCCGCGGUGAUACGUAGGGUGCGAGCGUUGUCCGGAUUUAUUGGGCGUAAAGGGCUCGUAGGUGGUUGAUCGCGUCGGAAGUGUAAUCUUGGGGCUUAACCCUGAGCGUGCUUUCGAUACGGGUUGACUUGAGGAAGGUAGGGGAGAAUGGAAUUCCUGGUGGAGCGGUGGAAUGCGCAGAUAUCAGGAGGAACACCAGUGGCGAAGGCGGUUCUCUGGGCCUUUCCUGACGCUGAGGAGCGAAAGCGUGGGGAGCGAACAGGCUUAGAUACCCUGGUAGUCCACGCUGUAAACGGUGGGUACUAGGUGUGGGGUCCAUUCCACGGGUUCCGUGCCGUAGCUAACGCUUUAAGUACCCCGCCUGGGGAGUACGGCCGCAAGGCUAAAACUCAAAGGAAUUGACGGGGCCCCGCACAAGCGGCGGAGCAUGCGGAUUAACUCGAUGCAACGCGUAGAACCUUACCUGGGUUUGACAUGGAUCGGGAGUGCUCAGAGAUGGGUGUGCCUCUUUUGGGGUCGGUUCACAGGUGGUGCAUGGCUGUCGUCAGCUCGUGUCGUGAGAUGUUGGGUUAAGUCCCGCAACGAGCGCAACCCUUGUUCACUGUUGCCAGCACGUUAUGGUGGGGACUCAGUGGAGACCGCCGGGGUCAACUCGGAGGAAGGUGGGGAUGACGUCAAGUCAUCAUGCCCCUUAUGUCCAGGGCUUCACGCAUGCUACAAUGGCUGGUACAGAGAGUGGCGAGCCUGUGAGGGUGAGCGAAUCUCGGAAAGCCGGUCUCAGUUCGGAUUGGGGUCUGCAACUCGACCUCAUGAAGUCGGAGUCGCUAGUAAUCGCAGAUCAGCAACGCUGCGGUGAAUACGUUCCCGGGGCU
RNAcentral lists this ribosomal RNA (1347 nucleotides) under uncultured bacterium. RNAcentral's name for it is "bacterial SSU rRNA". It matches the Rfam family "Bacterial small subunit ribosomal RNA", at positions 28 to 1381 of the family's 1533-position model. The record is from RNAcentral.